GAAAAAUUAGUUAAUUUAUAACCUAAGCUUGUCAUGCUUAAAUAAUCAACCUAAUUGAUAUUUUU
RNAcentral lists this transfer RNA (65 nucleotides) under Gennadas parvus. RNAcentral describes it as "tRNA-Asp". The record is from RNAcentral. Lineage: Eukaryota; Metazoa; Arthropoda; Malacostraca; Decapoda; Benthesicymidae.